UACUUAAUGUGGUUGAUCUAGA
Molecule: non-coding RNA, 22 nt
Filed under: Arabidopsis thaliana (thale cress)
Lineage: Eukaryota; Viridiplantae; Streptophyta; Magnoliopsida; Brassicales; Brassicaceae
Source: RNAcentral